AUGAACGCUAGCGGCAGGCUUAACACAUGCAAGUCGAGGGGUAUAGUAGCAAUACUAGAGACCGGCGCACGGGUGCGUAACGCGUAUGCAAUCUACCUUUCACAGAGGGAUAGCCCAGAGAAAUUUGGAUUAAUACCUCAUAGUAUUAUAGAAUGGCAUCAUUUUAUAAUUAAAGUCACAACGGUGAAAGAUGAGCAUGCGUCCCAUUAGCUAGAUGGUAAGGUAACGGCUUACCAUGGCAACGAUGGGUAGGGGUCCUGAGAGGGAGAUCCCCCACACUGGUACUGAGACACGGACCAGACUCCUACGGGAGGCAGCAGUGAGGAAUAUUGGUCAAUGGGCGCAAGCCUGAACCAGCCAUGCCGCGUGCAGGAUGACGGUCCUAUGGAUUGUAAACUGCUUUUGUACAGGAAGAAACACUCCCUCGUGAGGGAGCUUGACGGUACUGUAAGAAUAAGGAUCGGCUAACUCCGU
This 474-nucleotide ribosomal RNA is filed under the name uncultured bacterium. RNAcentral's name for it is "bacterial SSU rRNA". It matches the Rfam family "Bacterial small subunit ribosomal RNA", at positions 29 to 506 of the family's 1533-position model. The record is from RNAcentral.